GAUGAACGCUGGCGGCGUGCCUAAUACAUGCAAGUCGAGCGAACGGACGAGAAGCUUGCUUCUCUGAUGUUAGCGGCGGACGGGUGAGUAACACGUGGAUAACCUACCUAUAAGACUGGGAUAACUUCGGGAAACCGGAGCUAAUACCGGAUGAUAUUUUGAACCGCAUGGUUCAAAAGUGAAAGACGGUCUUGCUGUCACUUAUAGAUGGAUCCGCGCUGCAUUAGCUAGUUGGUAAGGUAACGGCUUACCAAGGCAACGAUGCAUAGCCGACCUGAGAGGGUGAUCGGCCACACUGGAACUGAGACACGGUCCAGACUCCUACGGGAGGCAGCAGUAGGGAAUCUUCCGCAAUGGGCGAAAGCCUGACGGAGCAACGCCGCGUGAGUGAUGAAGGUCUUCGGAUCGUAAAACUCUGUUAUUAGGGAAGAACAUAUGUGUAAGUAACUGUGCACAUCUUGACGGUACCUAAUCAGAAAGCCACGGCUAACUACGUGCCAGCAGCCGCGGUAAUACGUAGGUGGCAAGCGUUAUCCGGAAUUAUUGGGCGUAAAGCGCGCGUAGGCGGUUUUUUAAGUCUGAUGUGAAAGCCCACGGCUCAACCGUGGAGGGUCAUUGGAAACUGGAAAACUUGAGUGCAGAAGAGGAAAGUGGAAUUCCAUGUGUAGCGGUGAAAUGCGCAGAGAUAUGGAGGAACACCAGUGGCGAAGGCGACUUUCUGGUCUGUAACUGACGCUGAUGUGCGAAAGCGUGGGGAUCAAACAGGAUUAGAUACCCUGGUAGUCCACGCCGUAAACGAUGAGUGCUAAGUGUUAGGGGGUUUCCGCCCCUUAGUGCUGCAGCUAACGCAUUAAGCACUCCGCCUGGGGAGUACGACCGCAAGGUUGAAACUCAAAGGAAUUGACGGGGACCCGCACAAGCGGUGGAGCAUGUGGUUUAAUUCGAAGCAACGCGAAGAACCUUACCAAAUCUUGAUAUCCUUUGACAACUCUAGAGAUAGAGCCUUCCCCUUCGGGGGACAAAGUGACAGGUGGUGCAUGGUUGUCGUCAGCUCGUGUCGUGAGAUGUUGGGUUAAGUCCCGCAACGAGCGCAACCCUUAAGCUUAGUUGCCAUCAUUAAGUUGGGCACUCUAAGUUGACUGCCGGUGACAAACCGGAGGAAGGUGGGGAUGACGUCAAAUCAUCAUGCCCCUUAUGAUUUGGGCUACACACGUGCUACAAUGGACAAUACAAAGGGCAGCGAAACCGCGAGGUCAAGCAAAUCCCAUAAAGUUGUUCUCAGUUCGGAUUGUAGUCUGCAACUCGACUACAUGAAGCUGGAAUCGCUAGUAAUCGUAGAUCAGCAUGCUACGGUGAAUACGUUCCCGGGUCU
Molecule: ribosomal RNA, 1372 nt
Filed under: uncultured bacterium
Lineage: Bacteria
Description: bacterial SSU rRNA
Rfam family: Bacterial small subunit ribosomal RNA
Source: RNAcentral